CCUACGGGAGGCAGCAGUGGGGAAUAUUGGACAAUGGGCGAAAGCCUGAUCCAGCAAUGCCGCGUGUGUGAAGAAGGCCUGCGGGUUGUAAAGCACUUUCAUCAGGGACGAAAAACCCGGGGCGAAUACCCCCGGGCCUUGACUUAACCUGAACAAGAAGCACCGGCUAACUCCGUGCCAGCAGCCGCGGUAAUACGGAGGGUGCGAGCGUUAAUCGGAAUUACUGGGCGUAAAGCGCACGUAGGAGGCGAGAUCAGUCAGAUGUGAAAUCCCCGGGCUCAACCUGGGAAUUGCAUUUGAUACUGUCUUGCUAGAGUCUGGCAGAGGUAAGCGGAAUUCCGGGUGUAGCGGUGGAAUGCGUAGAUAUCCGGAAGAACACCAGUGGCGAAGGCGGCUUACUGGGCCAAGACUGACUCUGAGGUGCGAAAGCGUGGGGAGCGAACAGGAUUAGAUACCCUGGUAGUCCACGCCGUAAACGAUGUCAACUAGCCGUUGGACCCGUUUGAGGGUCAAGUGGUGCAGCUAACGCGAUAAGUUGACCGCCUGGGGAGUACGGCCGCAAGGUUGAAACUCAAAGGAAUUGACGG
This 587-nucleotide ribosomal RNA is filed under the name uncultured bacterium. RNAcentral describes it as "bacterial SSU rRNA". It matches the Rfam family "Bacterial small subunit ribosomal RNA", at positions 338 to 916 of the family's 1533-position model. The record is from RNAcentral.